RNAcentral lists this ribosomal RNA (253 nucleotides) under uncultured bacterium. RNAcentral describes it as "partial 16S ribosomal RNA". It matches the Rfam family "Bacterial small subunit ribosomal RNA", at positions 524 to 776 of the family's 1533-position model. The record is from RNAcentral.
GACGGAGGGUGCUAGCGUUGUUCGGAAUUACUGGGCGUAAAGGGCGCGUAGGCGGCCUGGUCAGUCGGAUGUGAAAGCCCGGGGCUCAACCCCGGAACGGCAUCCGAGACGGCCAGGCUGGAGACCGGGAGAGGAGAGUGGAAUAGCCAGUGUAGAGGUGAAAUUCGUAGAUAUUGGCUGGAACACCGGUGGCGAAAGCGGCUCUCUGGCCCGAUACUGACGCUGAGGCACGAAAGCGUGGGGAGCAAACAGG